UAGGGAAUCUUCNNCNNUGGGGGCAACCCUGACCGAGCAACGCCGCGUGAGUGAAGAAGGUUUUCGGAUCGUAAAGCUCUGUUGUAAGUCAAGAACGAGUAUGAGAGUGGAAAAUUCACACUGUGACGGUAGCUUACCAGAAAGGGACGGCUAACUACGUGCCAGCAGCCGCGGUAAUACGUAGGUCCCGAGCGUUGUCCGGAUUUAUUGGGCGUAAAGCGAGCGCAGGCGGUUUGAUAAGUCUGAAGUUAAAGGCUGUGGCUCAACCAUAGUUCGCUUUGGAAACUGUCAAACUUGAGUGCAGAAGGGGAGAGUGGAAUUCCAUGUGUAGCGGUGAAAUGCGUAGAUAUAUGGAGGAACACCGGUGGCGAAAGCGGCUCUCUGGUCUGUAACUGACGCUGAGGCUCGAAAGCGUGGGGAGCGAACAGGAUUAGAUACCCUGGUAGUCCACGCCGUAAAACGAUGAGUGCUAGGUGUUGGAUCCUUUCCGGGAUUUCAUUGCCGCAGCUUAACGCAUUUAAGCACUCCGCCUGGGGAGUACCGACCGGCAAGGUUGA
Molecule: ribosomal RNA, 557 nt
Filed under: uncultured bacterium
Lineage: Bacteria
Description: bacterial SSU rRNA
Rfam family: Bacterial small subunit ribosomal RNA
Source: RNAcentral